GAUCCAUUUUGUUUUCUUGUCAGAAGGCAGUAUGUUAAACGAAACAUCACAAUCUUAGUAUUUCAACAGCAUGAAAGCCAAUCCCAGGGGUCUCAAACUCAAUUUACCUGGGGGCCGCUGGAGUUCGGGUCUGGUGAGGCUGGGCCGCAUCAGGUUUUCCACAA
This is a long non-coding RNA of Hippocampus comes (tiger tail seahorse), 164 nucleotides long. RefSeq lists it as uncharacterized. NCBI's taxonomy places the organism in Eukaryota, Metazoa, Chordata, Actinopteri, Syngnathiformes, Syngnathidae. The transcript is spliced from 2 exons. The record is from RefSeq and is a predicted model, not a curated record.